GGGACCCUACGGGGGGCAGCAGUGAGGAAUAUUGGCCCUGGGCGGGAGCCUGAACCAGCCAAGUCGCGUGAAGGAAGAAGGUACUUAGUAUUGUAAACUUCUUUUGUCGGGGAACAACGGCGGAGACGCGUCUCCGGAUGAGUGUACCCGCAGAAAAAGCAUCGGCUAACUCCGUGCCAGCAGCCGCGGUAAUACGGAGGAUGCGAGCGUUAUCCGGAUUUAUUGGGUUUAAAGGG
This 236-nucleotide ribosomal RNA is filed under the name uncultured bacterium. RNAcentral's name for it is "partial 16S ribosomal RNA". It matches the Rfam family "Bacterial small subunit ribosomal RNA", at positions 333 to 567 of the family's 1533-position model. The record is from RNAcentral.